This 498-nucleotide ribosomal RNA is filed under the name uncultured Glomeromycotina. RNAcentral describes it as "partial small subunit ribosomal RNA". It matches the Rfam family "Eukaryotic small subunit ribosomal RNA", at positions 591 to 1092 of the family's 1831-position model. The record is from RNAcentral. Lineage: Eukaryota; Fungi; Glomeromycota.
CCAAUAGCGUAUAUUAAAGUUGUUGCAGUUAAAAAGCUCGUAGUUGAAUUUCGGGAUCAGUACGCCGGUCGUGCCUUCGGUAUGUACUGGUGUCACUGAUUCCUCCCUUCUGAAGAACCGUUAUGCCAUUCAUUUGGUGUGACGGGGAAUCAGGACUGUUACCUUGAACAAAUUAGAGUGUUUAAAGCAGGCUCGCGCUUGAAUACAUUAGCAUGGAAUAAUGAAAUAGGACGUUUGAUCUUAUUUUGUUGGUUUCUAGGAUCGACGUAAUGAUUAAUAGGGAUAGUUGGGGGCAUUAGUAUUCAAUUGUCAGAGGUGAAAUUCUUGGAUUUAUUGAAGACUAACUACUGCGAAAGCAUUUGCCAAGGAUGUUUUCAUUAAUCAAGAACGAAAGUUAGGGGAUCGAAGACGAUCAGAUACCGCCGUAGUCUUAACCAUAAACUAUGCCGACUAGGGAUCGGAUGAUGUUAUUUUUAAUGACUCAUUCGGCGCCUUACG